CUAUUUAUUUAGAUCUAAAUAUACUUAAGUAUACAGUGUUAGUUGUUAUCAAAUAUUACAAAUAAAGUAAUAGAAAUGUACAACUUCUAUUAUAUUAUAUCAUUUUAUAGUUUCCUUAAAUAAUAUACAACAUAACAUAAUAAUAUAAUGGACAACCAAAUGACUACAAGAAGACUCAGAAGAAUAGUGCAUAUAAUUUAUUUUUUUCUCAAAAUUAUGGUUGAAUGUCUAACUUUAAAAAAAAGUCACUUAAGCUAAUAAAUAAAAAGCCCUUGCUAAAGUAAGUACCUAAGUAAAAUUAGUACGAAAACUUACGUCUAUUAACAUUGUCAUCGUUUUCAGCAUGGUAAGAUGGUGGUGGCCAGAAUCGUGACAUACACAACUCCUGAAGCCAUCCAACAGGAUUACCCAUUAGUUUAUCUUCAAAUGAACAUUGCCAUUGGUAGUCUGAUCAGCUGGUGUAGCACCAGUUAACUUGUCCAGUAAAGCCUUGGCUGCAGAGUGCUUUGCCUCUUUUUUUGAGCGACCAGUGCCCAUUGCUGUAAAUAUAUAUUAUGUUUUUUAAA
This is a long non-coding RNA of Bombyx mori (domestic silkworm), 566 nucleotides long. RefSeq lists it as uncharacterized. Lineage: Eukaryota; Metazoa; Arthropoda; Insecta; Lepidoptera; Bombycidae. The record is from RefSeq and is a predicted model, not a curated record. The transcript has 2 exons.